RNAcentral lists this long non-coding RNA (1664 nucleotides) under Hermetia illucens (black soldier fly). RNAcentral describes it as "uncharacterized LOC119652681". Lineage: Eukaryota; Metazoa; Arthropoda; Insecta; Diptera; Stratiomyidae. The record is from RNAcentral.
CAGCCUUCUUACGCCCCCAUGCAGUCAGAAAAACAAGUCAUAAUACAUUGGAAAUUUAUACCUCGAACUUUGCAAUCAAACACUGAACUAAUUGAUUGAUCACCUGGAGAUUACGCUUAGAAUUCAGCUAGAACUAACGGUAACUCCUGCUAAACUCCCUUUAGCACUAUCAAUGAUUAAAACGAUAGCCAGAAAAAUUUUUUCACGAAGAAAAUUAACACGAAACCUCCAUUUCAUUUUCAUCACUUCAAGCCUGGUCUUUUGUUGCGUGUCAAGGAACUUUUUAUUAGGCGGCCCCACUCUCCGAUAAUCGAACACAUGCACACAUACGCUCAGAUGAUGAAAACGAAUACAUUUACGCCCUCGUAAAUUUGUUCCAUCAUAUUAAUCUAGCGGUAGUAAUUGCUUAUAAUUUCCAGAUAUUGUUGGCAUAAAAAUGUUAUCUUAACCGGUUGGAUCAUUUAAAAAUCACUUUAAAUAGGCUGCGUGCCAAUGUAACGAGAAAUAUUGCACGCAAUAUUAUUGUGUACUUCUUGGUUUUUAUUUUUUACCGAAAAGGGUAACUUGGGAGCGAGGCCAUUAAUGUCAAGUCCGUGCUAUUGUUUAUAGCUGUGUAUGUAGUAGUUAAAGGUUUUAUGAGGCUUUGAAAAGACUGACGAAAAUUAAACGCUUCGGACUCAAGUAGACGUCAGUACUGAAAACAAACAACGCUCGAAAAUCUAUUAUGCAUUGACAGGGCUGAAAAUAUUUAUACAUUGACAGAACAGAACCGACAAGGAUAAUGAAACUCAUCCAUCAUCAAAGGAUCUGCACGAAAAUAGUCAUUAGAUUGUGUGUUUAUGUCCCGGUUGAUGGUUUUUCAUUCAUGGGGAGUUUCUGCACGAACACUGUCCUGUGGUUUGAAAGGACUCCAAUUAGUAAAUGGUUAAAGUGGUAGCAGUGAAAAAAAAUAUUGAACUGCAGGACUCUUGAAGGAAGAGACUUUACUGAGCGAAAGAAAAUUAAUAACUUUUGGGAUGGCGGAAAAGAGGAGUCAGUGAAUCUGUUUGACCUACUUUCAGGAAUCCCAGAGGAAAGUUGGAAAACCGGAGCUCAAUGAAGCUGGGAUAUACAAAUAGCGAAGCGAGUGUGAUCCAACUGUGACAGGAACCAGGAGCGCGGAUUAUGAUUACUUACAAAAUCAUUGGCUUCAUUUCACUUGUACUAGAAACUAACGAAAUGUGUGUCGUUUCUCUGAGAAAAACUCGCAACGGCGAACAGGACAAUUGAUUUUCAAAAUCCCGACUCUCCAACUGUGAAGCAAAUCUCUGGGGUUUUCUGCAAAAACAACAAAGCCAAUAACCCAAAAUUAUAAUUGGGACAGAUCACCUGACAACAUCAUGAUGGCAAGCGCUGACGUAAUCCUUAAUAAGAAAACACAAAACCAUCUAUGUACAAACAUAUAAUUGAGGUGGACAACUACUAACAUGUUUCUAUGAUGAAGGUGUGAUUAAAAAAAGUCGGUUGAACGAACUGACAAGAAAACAAGGUAUUGGACGGAAAGUUCGGUCCUUCGGAUAUCGUUCGUUCAUGUAAAAUCCUUGAAAAUUAUAUUUUUUUAAAAUUUUGUGAAAAACCAAGCCUUAUUAAAAUUCAUUCACUGUUUGUCUAUCAUGCACAAUUUA